Salvia splendens (bonfire salvia) is the source of this 2462-nucleotide long non-coding RNA. RefSeq lists it as uncharacterized. The record is from RefSeq and is a predicted model, not a curated record. The transcript has 2 exons. NCBI's taxonomy places the organism in Eukaryota, Viridiplantae, Streptophyta, Magnoliopsida, Lamiales, Lamiaceae.
CGAAGAGAUACUUGGAAUUAAAGUUCAAGGAAUUUAAAUUUUUAUGAACUACAAUUAUUGAAAAGAAGAAAUGCCAAUUAAUCAAAUAGAAUGAUCUAUACCUAAUUAUACACAAGAAAUGAAUAGCUACGUAUUAGCUAUUCUAAAGGAAAGAGUCUACAAGUUUGACUCUAGCUAGAAAUGGUAAUGGAAUCAAGGAAAGCUUGAGCAUGAGUCAUCUUCUCUUCCCUUCUCGAUUUUAAGACAACCACAAGAUGCCAAUUUCCACCUUGCAACCUGCCAAGAUACACCAAAAUGGUUAGAUUUCUCCUGCCAAAGAAUCAAACGAAAAUAAAAUCUCUUUGCAAAAAUAGAGGUAAUGAGCAGGUUGUAGUAAGCAAGCUGCCAAGACAGCCUUUACUCUCCAAGUAUCACACAAAUGGGAAGCAUCAAAUAAAAUAAAAUCUCUUUGCAAAAAUAGAGGUAAUGAGCAGGUUGUAGUAAGCAAGCUGCCAAGACAGCCUUUACUCUCCAAGUAUCACACAAAUGGGAAGCAUCAAAUAAAAUAAAAUCUCUUUGCAAAAAUAGAGGUAAUGAGCGAGUAAAAAUUUAGUGGUCAAGGCAUACCACAUGGCAAUAUGAUAUGGUAUGUCCCACUAAUAAUACUUUGACAAAUGGAUUUAUAGAAGUCCAACUAAAUACUUUCAUCCUUUUCUAAAAAUGGACAUUAUUAUAAAAUUUGGAAAGUCCAAAAAUUAAUACCACCUAUAUAAUGAAUACAUGUAUAACACACUUAUAUAUUUUGUUACCAAAUUAGUUGUCAAUAAGAAUGCAGACGAGUAUUUAAUAUAACAAAAUUAAGGUCAUUUGCCACCUUUAUGUUUAAUAGUAUAAUUAUUCAUAUAUGUGCAAUGGUAAAAUAAUAUAAAAAUGAAACUAUAUAAUUAUUCCUAAUUUCGCAUAGUUAAUGUAAUGCCACUGAAUUUUAUUUAUAAUUUAAUUUAUAGUUACAUUUUUUAUUUGUGAUUUUUCGCACAGUUAGUGUAAUGCUAACUUAAAUUUGUUGUUUACUUUAUUUCUUGUUUUAUAUGUAUGCAAAAAAUUACAAAUGAUUACCAUAACCUUAAACUAAAUCAUAAACAAAAUUUGUUAGCAUUAUAUUAAACGUAUGUAACUAUGAUUGAUUAUAUAGUUUCAUUUUUAUACUUAUUUUACCAUUGUUAAAGACUAUAUGAAUAAUUAUAUUAAAUAUAUAAGUAGCUAAUAAUAAGAAAAUGACAUAAAAGUUAAUUUUAUUAUAUUAAAUUAUCAUUGACAUACCAUAAAAAACUCUAAAAAUCAAAAUAUAAUAAGUUAAUUACUACAUAUAUUUUGUAUAUUAAAUUAUUCUUAGAAUUAGAAAUAUAAAAGGACGAAAUAAAUUUUGCUAGUUCAUAGUGGAAGUAUUUUGGUCAAAUAUAAAUGCAUUCAUUAUAUUAAAUAUAAGUACUCUUAAUUUUUGGAUAGUUUCCGAAUUUUAUAAUAAUGUCCAUUUUUAGAAAAAGAUGAAAGUAUUUAGUUGGACUUCUAUAAAUCCAUUUGUCAAAGUAUUAUUAGUGGGACAUACCACAUCACAUUGCCAUGUGGUAUGCCUUGACCACUAAAUUUUUGCUCGUAAUGAGCAGGUUGUAGUAAGCAAGCUGCCAAGACAGCCUUUACUCUCCAAGUAUCACACAAAUGGGAAGCAUCAAAUAGGACUUGAAGAAAGCCUCUGCAAUAUUUUGCUCAACACCAAAUAGGAACAAGUGGCAUGGUGUUUUGAGUUCCCUAGGAUAACCAAAAGAGGAAAAAACUCAUCCAUAGCAGGGAAUCAAAUAAAGGUGAGAUAAGCAAGAUCUCUCCCAUCCCAAGACUUACACAAAGGAUGCAAGAGGCCUUUUGUCAUGCUAAAAUGGGAAGGAACCCAUAGCUAGAAAUACAGGAGCAUCCUUCUCAAUGUAGUAAAGUUUUUAUCUCAAAUUCAAAAGAGAAGGAAUCUUUAUCCCAAAUUAGCCACAAAAGGCCAAGGAGUUUGGCUAUAAAUAUCAGCCCACCACCACCUCCUUCCUCACACCUCUUUAUAUUCACAAGAUAUAAGAAGUGCAACAAGAGAGGAAGGAAUGGCGGCGAGCUUAAGGGCAGUCUGGCGUUCGAAGGAGUCAUCGAAAAAGAGGUUAUCUUCGCAAGUUAAGGACGGAGUGAUGAGAAUUCAAGUUAAGGAGUUUUAAGCAAACGAAGUGGGCUUUCUGUUUAUGAUACAGUUUUGUGAGAAGUAUGUUUUGUGGGGUUUUGUUAAAGUUACAGUUUUUACGAGAAGUACUUUGUGGAAUUUCUUUUAAAAUUUAGAAAAUAACUUUAAAGUAUGUUUAUAGUUUUUAUGAGAAGUGUUUUUGUGGGCUUUCUAUUUAAGGUAUGAUGUUAAGUGCGAGCUUGCUAUUUAAUGUGCAACAUUAUGAAAAGUGCUA